This 497-nucleotide ribosomal RNA is filed under the name uncultured bacterium. Its description in RNAcentral is "partial 16S ribosomal RNA". It matches the Rfam family "Bacterial small subunit ribosomal RNA", at positions 28 to 507 of the family's 1533-position model. The record is from RNAcentral.
GACGAACGCUGGCGGCGUGCCUAAUACAUGCAAGUUGAGCGCUGAAGGUUGGUACUUGUACCAACUGGAUGAGCAGCGAACGGGUGAGUAACGCGUGGGGAAUCUGCCUUUGAGCGGGGGACAACAUUUGGAAACGAAUGCUAAUACCGCAUAAAAACUUUAACCACAAGGUUUAAGUUUGAAAGAUGCAAUUGCAUCACUCAAAGAAGAUCCCGGGUUGUCUUAGCUUGUUGGUGAGGUUAAGGCUCAACAAGGCCAUGAUACCUAGCCGACCUUGGAGGGGGGAUGGCCAACUCGGGAACGGGGCACGGCCCAAACCCCUACGGGAAGCAGCAGGAGGGAAUCUUCGGCAAUGGGCGAAAGUCUGACCGAGCAACGCCGCGGGAGGGGAGAAGGUUUUCGGAUCGUAAAACUCUGUUGGUAGAGAAGAACGUUGGGGAGAGUGGAAAGCUCAUCAAGUGACGGUAACUACCCAGAAAGGGACGGCUAACUACGUG